GAUCCUGGCUUAGAACGAACGCUGGUGGCGUGUCUUAUACAUGCAAGUCGAGCGAGGCAGCAAUGCCGAGCGGCGAACGGGUGAGUAACGCGUAAGCAAUCUGCCCCAUAUCAGGAAAUACCCGUGCCAACGCGCGGUUAAUGUCCAGGAGAGUGGCCCUCUGCAUGGAGGGUUGACUAGAGAUUUAUCGGUAUGGGAUGAGCUUGCGUCCGAUUAGCUAGUUGGCGGGGCAACGGCCCACCAAGGCGACGAUCGGUAGCCGGCCUGAGAGGGUGAUCGGCCACAUUGGGACUGAGAUACGGCCCAGACUCCUACGGGAGGCAGCAGUAGGGAAUAUUGCACAAUGGGGGAAACCCUGAUGCAGCAACGCCACGUGUGGGAAGAAGCAUUUCGGUGUGUAAACCACUGUCAUGAGGGAAUAAGGCCCGCCUACGGACGGGAUUGAAUGUACCUUGAGAGGAAGCACCGGCAAACUUCGUGCCAGCCGCUGC
This 491-nucleotide ribosomal RNA is filed under the name uncultured bacterium. Its description in RNAcentral is "bacterial SSU rRNA". It matches the Rfam family "Bacterial small subunit ribosomal RNA", at positions 15 to 518 of the family's 1533-position model. The record is from RNAcentral.